UCCGUCUAAAUAAUCAACACCAUUACAAAUAUAGAAGUUAAUACUAUGUAUAAUUUUAAAAAAUAGAUAAAUAAAAACAAACGAUGAUACAAAUUACAAAUUAGUACUAUAAUUUUGAGAUAUUAUAUAUAAAAACAAUAUGCAUCAACUCAAUGUUACCAUUUUUAUUCCUUUGAAUAUUGUGCUAUUCAUGACGAAGACAG
This 203-nucleotide long non-coding RNA is filed under the name Solanum tuberosum (potato). RNAcentral's name for it is "long non-coding RNA (STUB_LNC000607)". Lineage: Eukaryota; Viridiplantae; Streptophyta; Magnoliopsida; Solanales; Solanaceae. The record is from RNAcentral.